GGCGGAGCCGCCACCGCGGAAGGAGUUAAAAGCAUGAGAUGGGGAGUGGAGGUUACACUACUUAUAGAGAGCGAUGGACUCUAGUAAGCGUGCUGUGCUGCACAAAGUAAAUUUAUUUGUGUGGCUGAGAUGGGACGCAAGAUCCAGUUCUUCAUGAGCUGCUCUGGUGUGGGUCCCCCAUAGGCUCACAAGUCCUACCAGCAAACCUGCUCCAGUGUGGGGGUCCUCCUCUCCACGUCUACAGAUCCUGCCAGGAGCUCGCUCCAGCAUGGGCUUCCCGUGGGGUCAAAACCUUCUUUGGGUGCAUCCACCUACUUAGGCCUGGGGUCUUCCACAGGCUGCAGGUAGAUCUCUGUUUCCCCAGGGACCUCCAUGGGCUGCAGUGGGACAGCUGCUUCACCAUGGUCUUCAUCGUGCACUGUAGGGGACACACAGCUUUGGUGCCUGGAGCACCUCUUCCCCCUCCUUCUCUACUAACUUUGGUGACUACAGGGUUGUUGCUCCCGCAUAUUCUCAGUCAUCUCUUCUAUGUCUGCAAUUGCUUUUGCACAAUAACUUCUUUCCUUUCUUAAAUAUGUUGUCCCAGAGGUGCUACUACCAUCUCUGGCUUGGCCUUGGCCACUGGUGAGUCUGUCUUGGAGCCAGCAGGAAUUGGCUCUGCUGUACAUGGGGGAAGCUUCUAGCAGCUUCUCACAGAAGCCACCCCUGUAGCCCUCCUGCUACCAAAUCCUGGCCUUGCAAACCCCACACAAUUCUUCAGAUUCACAGCCUGACAUCAAUAUAAAAGAAAGAUUUCAGAAUUACAAGGCAAAUUGAUGAUUACAAACAUACAAAAUGUUUUAAUAGGCUGAAAUAUUGAAGUGAAAAUGAAUCACAGAAAGAUUAUUCCAAGACAGAAGUCGUAGAAAGUGCAGUCCCAGCUGUCAGCCUAGGAUUCACUGGCUUGGAGAUAUAAUAUCAUAUUCUCUCGUGUGAGGUUUUGAAGACAAAUUAUGCUGAAAACCACAUCACUGAGUUGUAUCAGGAAUCAACUGAAGCAAUUAAAGAACUACAGUUUAAGGGAGUCUGUAAAAUUUGGUUACAUUUCCUGGAACAAACAGCAGACCUUCCAAAAGCAAACUUUGCAUCAGAGAAAAAGCAUUUUAGAAUGUUACAAUACUAUUGGUUUCUUUUCUCCAGUCCUUUUUGUGUAAUUGCAUCAUAGGAAACAUAAAACUGUUUUUGCUUGUAUCUGAAGAACUUCUGGUGAGAAAUGAAACAGAGCCAAAGCCUGUAGUACUGAAACAGUGUGAACUCAGCAAGCAUCCUUUCAGUUCUGAAAAAGGAUUAAACUUAGGAUCUUAAUCCUCAAAGAAUAUACAUUGUUGAAGUAAAGUUCAUUAGCUGCACAGAAGCAUCAUAGAAAUGGAAAAAGACCAUUAAAAUGGUUAGUCAUUGAGAGGAAUGGCAGAUUUGUCUUUACAAACAAGUUAUGGGUCUGCUGGUAGAUAAAACUAGCACUGGGAGAUAAAAGAAACAAAGGGAGGAUUCCACUGAUUGAUGAAUGGCAAAAGAUAUUUGCUUUUACAAAUAAACUUUAGGUUUGCUGAGAAAUGAAAUUGGACAUUGAAAGAUGAAAGGAACAAUGGGGGAAACCCCUAAAUUCCAUAAGAAUUAAAAAUUAAAAGGAAGGGUUAUACAUUAGAGGGAAAACUUUGGUAUCAGGUGUAUCGGGAAGUCUGUACCUCUCAAGUACCUCAACCAAUGGGGAAAGAGAGAAGGGAAAUGCGGCCAGGAAAUUCGGAUAAAAAGGAGGCUGUGUCCUCCAAAAAAUUUGAGAGAUCCCAGGGGAAUGCCCCAUGGCCUCUCCCUUUAUUCGAAUAAAGUAUAAGGACUCCUCUGUUUCCUUUUUGGACAUAAAUCUCUGAUGUUUGUGGAUUAAUUUUCCUGACAAACUGUGGGCUUGUCUGGGAUAUUUCCACCAUCUGGAGUGGUGGGCAGGCAGUGAGCAGAGCUGAAGGCGUGCCUCACACAGUUUGGGUCAUCAGCUCCCCUUGGUGGCGGCCAGCUCUGGGCAAUCAAUUGGGUUCCCGAGACUCCAGGAGACAGACGAGUGGCGGACAUGGCAGGUCCCUGAAGAGUCCACAGGGAAGAAGCACUGAAAAUCUUACCGAAAGGAAUGAGGGGCCCUCACCGGAUGGCGGCUGCAGGACACCUAAAUCUUUCAGAAAAAGGGAAUUUAUUGCUCCCUUAUCAGCAGAAAACUAACUUCUUCCCACCUCACUCAGACAGGAAGACGGCAUGAGGAUUAAGAGGAAGAAGUUGACAGUGACCAGACAGAAUACUGUGUUUGAAUGGAAUUUAUGCAUCAUGUAUGAGAUGUAUGAAUAUGCAACAGGCGAUUGUUUUUAAGCGUUAAUCCUCUGUUAACGGGGGUCCUUUUUCGGGCUUGUGUUGCCCAGAAAAAGGUAGCCGGACGUCCGUAUCUCUUUGUUUUUAUUGUCUCAUAUUGUCCUAAUCUCAAAUGUUCAAAUUUUAUUAUUCUGAUUAUAUUGCUAUUUUUAUAACCAUUUUAUUACUA
Molecule: long non-coding RNA, 2560 nt
Organism: Passer domesticus (house sparrow)
Lineage: Eukaryota; Metazoa; Chordata; Aves; Passeriformes; Passeridae
Exons: 3
Source: RefSeq, a predicted model, not a curated record